Molecule: long non-coding RNA, 1753 nt
Organism: Carassius auratus (goldfish)
Lineage: Eukaryota; Metazoa; Chordata; Actinopteri; Cypriniformes; Cyprinidae
Exons: 3
Source: RefSeq, a predicted model, not a curated record
GUCUCAUGCGUUUCCCCUGUUGUGACUAAAGGACACUCUCCAUCAGCACUCAACAUCAUAACAAACACUCACACUUUAAUGAGCACAGAGUAACCAAAAAUGAGUCGUGAGUCACAUUUCACCCCAAGAUCAAAAGAAAUUAUAAAUGCAAUAUGCAUGAGGAAAAUGAAGUCAGUUUUGGACUGAAUUUGAAGUGUACUUUAAUUUUAUGCACUGACAAGAUUUUCAUGAUGAUACACUAGUAUUAAAAUACUAUACAUUUAUAACUCACCCCAAUGUAACAUUUAAUUUUCAUUUGCAAAUUAGCAAAAAUCGUUCUUGAAUCGAAUCAAAAACCUAUGAAUCGUGAAAUGAAUCAAUUCACUGUCUACCCAAAGUUCACAGCACUACUCAAAAAAUAGAUAUUUAAACUGAAGAGUACAUUUCCAGUUAAAGUCAAAUUGUAUCCAUACAUGAUGGCAGAAUUUUUCAGAAUUAAAUAACUUAAUACAACUGUCUUAAAGGAAUAGUUUACACAUACAUGCAAACUUUCUGAAAAUGUUCUCAUCCCCAGGUUAUCCAAGGUUAUGCGGUGAAUGGGUGCCAUCAGAAUUAGAGUCCAAUCAGCUGACAAAAACAACAAUAAUCCACAAUAUAACUUUGAUACCAACCUAACUUUAGAGCUUUAGUAUUUAGAAUAACCAUAUGAAUGAAUAUUUGUCUUUUUAACUGAACUUAAGACUGGCGAUGAUGCUUGAAAUAUUGUUUGUCAUGCAUUUCUAAAAAGGAAAAUAUAAACUCUAAUAACCCAAGUUUGGGUUGAAAAUUGGUCUUGAUCAUAACACAGUGGCGCUGGGUUGGAAAUGCGGACGUGAAGGAGUGCACGCACGUCACAAUAAACUUGGGCAUCUCCAUUCCAGACGCAGUUUUCGCCUCUGAUGUCAUAAAUGGAGAAGUGGAGGUCUUAAUGGCCUCUUUUACUGAACGGAAGAGAAGCCUGCUUUUGUGAGGAGGAGGCGGUUUUCUCAGCUUCUUCAGAAGAGAGGACGAACUCAGACUAACUUUGGAGCUAAGGACACAGAAGCCUGCUUGUGUGAGGAGGAGGAGAUUUUCUCAGCUUCUUCGGAAGAGAGGGAAAGACAGUUUAAGGUAAUUGAACUUCAUAAUUUCAUGUUAUCAUUUUUUUUUUUUUUUUAUGAGAAGUUAAAAUGCCUUGACAAAAUAUUCACUUCACAAGGUGUUAUUUGAAGGACUGUUGACGUGCGAAUUACAUGUGGAUUACUGUGAUGUUUUGAUGAACUCUAAUUCUAACGGCACCCAUUGACCACAGAGAAUCCACUGAUGGGCAAGUGAUGCAGUACUAAAUUUCUCCAAAUCUUUUCUGAUGAAGAAAGAAAUGCAUAAGGGUUAGUAAAUGUUCAGCAAAAUGCCAUACUAUUCCUUUAAAACAUUUUAUGUAAAAUGCAUUUCUAUCGAAUUUGGGGUGAAAUAUGAAAUAUGUCUAUUUGUGACAUUCACUCAAACAUCAAGGAAAGCAUACAGAUGUUGACUCAUUCUCAGCAGUGCUGUCAAAAUGACUACACAAGUGCAGCCCAGAAUAGGCUGACAGAGGCAGGUGAGUGAAGGGUUAAUGUACACACACUCCUGCACGCUUUCACCCCCAACACUUCAAAGGUAAGUCAUUUCUCUGCUCGGUCUCUGCAUCUGCCAAACCCAGAGCCUCUUAAGAGCUGCUUUUGACUGUUGUGGUUGUAAAAAAAAAUAAAAACCAACU